Xenococcus sp. PCC 7305 is the source of this 77-nucleotide non-coding RNA. Lineage: Bacteria; Bacillati; Cyanobacteriota; Cyanophyceae; Pleurocapsales; Xenococcaceae. The record is from Rfam.
UUGUGUGUGAGGAGUAAGUUCAAUAGAAGAAGGUUUUGGGGUCGAAACACGGAAAGACUCCCGGAACCUUUUUCUUU